Molecule: unclassified non-coding RNA, 308 nt
Filed under: plant metagenome
Description: partial contains 5.8S ribosomal RNA, internal transcribed spacer 2, and large subunit ribosomal RNA
Rfam family: 5.8S ribosomal RNA (bases 1-104)
Source: RNAcentral
AAAUGCGAUAAGUAGUGUGAAUUGUAGAAUUCAGUGAAUCAUCGAAUCUUUGAACGCACAUUGCGCCCCUUGGUAUUCCAUGGGGCAUGCCUGUUCGAGCGUCAUUUGUACCCUCAAGCUCUGCUUGGUGUUGGGUGUUUGUCCCGUCUCCGCGCGUGGACUCGCCCCAAAGUGAUUGGCAGCCGGCGUACUGGUCCCGGAGCGCAGCACAUGUCGCGCAAACGAGUGCCUUGGUACGGCGGCGUCCAUAAGCCCCUCUCUCACGCUCUUGACCUCGGAUCAGGUAGGGAUACCCGCUGAACUUAAGC